RNAcentral lists this ribosomal RNA (458 nucleotides) under uncultured Sphingobacteriales bacterium. RNAcentral describes it as "bacterial SSU rRNA". It matches the Rfam family "Bacterial small subunit ribosomal RNA", at positions 922 to 1382 of the family's 1533-position model. Lineage: Bacteria; Pseudomonadati; Bacteroidota; Sphingobacteriia; Sphingobacteriales. The record is from RNAcentral.
GGCACAAGCGGUGGAGCAUGUGGUUAAUUUCGAUGAUACGCGAGGAACCUUACCUGGGCUCAAAUGUAUGUUGACGUAUUCUGAAAGGGAUACUUCUUCGGACAAUAUACAAGGUGCUGCAUGGUUGUCGUCAGCUCGUGCCGUGAGGUGUCGGGUUAAGUCCCAUAACGAGCGCAACCCCUAUCAUUAGUUGCCAUCAGGUCAAGCUGGGGACUCUAAUGAAACUGCCUACGCAAGUAGUGAGGAAGGUGGGGAUGACGUCAAAUCAGCACGGCCCUUACGUCCAGGGCUACACACGUGUUACAAUGGCCAGUACAGAGGGCAGCCACCCCGCGAGGGGGCGCUAAUCCUAAAAGCUGGUCCCAGUUCGGAUCGGAGUCUGCAACCCGACUCCGUGAAGCUGGAUUCGCUAGUAAUCGCGCAUCAGCCACGGCGCGGUGAAUACGUUCCCGGGCCUU